This is a long non-coding RNA of Panicum virgatum (switchgrass), 620 nucleotides long. RefSeq lists it as uncharacterized. The record is from RefSeq and is a predicted model, not a curated record. Lineage: Eukaryota; Viridiplantae; Streptophyta; Magnoliopsida; Poales; Poaceae. The transcript is spliced from 3 exons.
AAAACGUAUUCUAUGAUGUUCGAGGAGGAACCAAACAGGGUGUGCACGAGAUUUUCCCAGUAGAACAGGUAUUUGAAUCGUUUUGCUCCGAUAUUUUCUUCUUCUUUUGAGAAUUUACUCCGUUAUUUUUCUGACAGCUUGCUGUUUAAGUCCGGCCUAUACGGGCCUGCUUGAAUGGGAAAAAUUAGACUAGGCAGGCCCAGACACUCUUCGGCCUUUAUGGGCUGGGCUUUUCUUUAGCACUGGUGGAAGCGCGGGAAACUAAUCCGGUGCGCGCUAAACGAAACGAGGCUCCCACCCACGGUGUGCCUCGCCAGUUGUGGGACCCACGGCACCUCUAAACCUGAACCUGUCGAAAUCGGUUAGCUUUCGAUUGUUUGCGCACACCGAUGGGGAUCCCCAAUCUUCUCCGCUUCCUUAAGCCGUUCAUCGAGCCCGUGCACAUCAAGAAGUACGCCGGCAAGCGGGUCGGCAUUGAUGCCUACUCCUGGCUCCACAAAGGAGGUUCGGUUCUAUUGUAUAGUAGCUGCAAUGUAUAGCUGAUAGGGAUUCCUUGUUGGAGAUCACCGGGAUUCCGAUCGCCGGCGAGCUCCAGAGAACACACACAAGAACACGGUGGA